AACAACCUUAUGAGGUAAGCUGUCCUGGUCCUCGGAGCCCUUAUGACAGCAAUUGUCUCUCUCCUUCUGGAAAGUAAUUAAUAGGCGACAUCACUGGACCAAGCAGGGAUACCAGCCCGGAGGUGUCUGCGUUCCUGAUAGUUCGUAUUUUCUAGAAAGAGAAAUUAGCUAGACUAACGGUGCAUUGUGCUAUAUAUUUCCAUUUUACAAUAUAUUUGUCCACUCAAAGCACAGAAACUAACGGUGAUGCAUUGUUGUGCUGUGAGCCUAUGUACAUUUUACAAUAUUUGUCCAGUUAACGUAGAGAAACUAAGUAAAUUUGUACCGAAUUAAACGAUUAUUUUUUUGCCACCUAGGCAUGCGGACUGACAUCACCUCCGACGUUGACGAUCCUCUCUUACUCACCACACCCCAUUUUGUCGACAUUAAUGACAUUUUCCACCGUGCCCUCACCCAUGUCCCAACCUCCUUCCUCGUCUCUAACAGCUUUAGAUGUUUGGUUCCCAGCCACAAACUACCACGCCUAAGAUUAGGUUUGCCAUAAAAUUUGAUAUGUGUUUGGUUCUUAACAAAGCAAGGUUCGCCACAGCCUCCUAGCUCAUCCGCCACAACUUUUGCCAAGGAAAGUAUGGCGACCUUUUUCUCCACAUUCCCCAUGGCGCGCCACCCCUGGCAAAAAGAUUCCACCUACCGCGAGUUAACACUCCCUGAGUUAAUUGAUUAAUUCACCGCAACCAUGUCACAUUUUUAUUACGGAGUUCUCAGCUAUCUAGCUGACCUUUAGGGAAACAACAUAACAUAAGUAGUAGCUAUAUAAAGAAAAGCAAAGUCUAUUACAAUCCUCCCUCCCUCCGUUCUUUAGGAAUAACUACAUGGCCAGAAUCCCCAAUUUCAAGCAUGCCGAACAAAUGGUUUUCCUUAACUCACUAGUAGAGAAUUGGCUUUCGAUGCGCCCCC
This 957-nucleotide long non-coding RNA is filed under the name Setaria viridis. RNAcentral describes it as "long non-coding RNA (SVIR_LNC006462)". Lineage: Eukaryota; Viridiplantae; Streptophyta; Magnoliopsida; Poales; Poaceae. The record is from RNAcentral.